AUAGGCCGGGUGUGGACGUGCAGUAAUGCAUGAAGCUUACCGGUACUAAUCGUUCGAUCGAACUUGAUCGU
This 71-nucleotide ribosomal RNA is filed under the name Rhizobium sp. PP-F2F-G38. Its description in RNAcentral is "partial 23S ribosomal RNA". Lineage: Bacteria; Pseudomonadati; Pseudomonadota; Alphaproteobacteria; Hyphomicrobiales; Rhizobiaceae. The record is from RNAcentral.